CUUGUGCCAGCAGCCGCGGUAAUACAGAGGGUGCAAGCGUUAAUCGGAAUUACUGGGCGUAAAGCGCGCGUAGGUGGUUCGUUAAGUUGGAUGUGAAAUCCCCGGGCUCAACCUGGGAACUGCAUUCAAAACUGACGAGCUAGAGUAUGGUAGAGGGUGGUGGAAUUUCCUGUGUAGCGGUGAAAUGCGUAGAUAUAGGAAGGAACACCAGUGGCGAAGGCGACCACCUGGACUGGUACUGACACUGAGGUGCGAAAGCGUGGGGAGCAAACAGGAUUAGAU
Molecule: ribosomal RNA, 282 nt
Filed under: uncultured Pseudomonadales bacterium
Lineage: Bacteria; Pseudomonadati; Pseudomonadota; Gammaproteobacteria; Pseudomonadales
Description: partial 16S ribosomal RNA
Rfam family: Bacterial small subunit ribosomal RNA
Source: RNAcentral